CUACGGGGCGCUGCAGUGGGGAAUAUUGGACAAUGGGGGAAACCCUGAUCCAGCAAUGCCGCGUGUGUGAAGAAGGCCUGCGGGUUGUAAAGCACUUUCGGUUGGGAGGACUGCUUCUAGCACUAAUAUUGUUGGAAGUUGACGUUACCUUCAGAAGAAGCACCGGCUAACUCCGUGCCAGCAGCCGCGGUAAUACGGAGGGUGCAGCGUUAAUCGGAAUUACUGGGCGUAAAGCGCGCGUAGGCGGCUAGAUCAGUCGGGUGUGAAAGCCCCGGGCUUAACCUGGGAACUGCAUCCGAUACUGUCUAGCUUGAGUACAGGAGAGGAGAGUGGAAUUCCACAUGUAGCAGUGAAAUGCGUAGAUAUGUGGAGGAACACCAAUGGCGAAGGCAGCUCUCUGGCCUGAUACUGACGCUGAGGUGCGAAAGCGUGGGGAGCAAACAGGAUUAGAUACCCCCGUAGUC
RNAcentral lists this ribosomal RNA (464 nucleotides) under uncultured bacterium. RNAcentral's name for it is "partial 16S ribosomal RNA". It matches the Rfam family "Bacterial small subunit ribosomal RNA", at positions 339 to 795 of the family's 1533-position model. The record is from RNAcentral.